This 88-nucleotide transfer RNA is filed under the name Methylacidimicrobium cyclopophantes. RNAcentral describes it as "tRNA-Ser". It matches the Rfam family "tRNA". Rfam says of the family: Transfer RNA (tRNA) molecules are approximately 80 nucleotides in length. Their secondary structure includes four short double-helical elements and three loops (D, anti-codon, and T loops). The record is from RNAcentral. Lineage: Bacteria; Pseudomonadati; Verrucomicrobiota.
GGACAGGUGGCAGAGGGGUUGAUUGCGGCGGUCUUGAAAACCGCUAGUCCGCAAGGGCGCGUGGGUUCGAAUCCCACCCUGUCCGCCA